RNAcentral lists this ribosomal RNA (480 nucleotides) under uncultured bacterium. RNAcentral's name for it is "bacterial SSU rRNA". It matches the Rfam family "Bacterial small subunit ribosomal RNA", at positions 8 to 485 of the family's 1533-position model. The record is from RNAcentral.
AGAGUUUGAUCCUGGCUCAGACUGAACGCUGGCGGCAUGCCUUACACAUGCAAGUCGAACGGUAGCGGGCCUUCGGGUGCCGACGAGUGGCGAACGGGUGAGUAAUGUAUCGGAACGUACCUUUCAGUGGGGGAUAACGUAGCGAAAGUUACGCUAAUACCGCAUAUUCUGUGAGCAGGAAAGCAGGGGAUCGCAAGACCUUGCGCUGAUUGAGCGGCCGAUAUCAGAUUAGCUAGUUGGUGAGGUAAAGGCUCACCAAGGCGACGAUCUGUAGCGGGUCUGAGAGGAUGAUCCGCCACACUGGAACUGAGACACGGUCCAGACUCCUACGGGAGGCAGCAGUGGGGAAUUUUGGACAAUGGGGGCAACCCUGAUCCAGCCAUGCCGCGUGAGUGAAGAAGGCCUUCGGGUUGUAAAGCUCUUUCGGCCGGGAAGAAAUCGCAUGGGUUAAUACCCUGUGCGGAUGACGGUACCGGCAUA